AUGCCAUAUACAUUCAGUGGACAUUUGGAGUUCUUAUGGAUAAAAAAUGAUACUGCAAUUGAAGAAUUAUCUCAAAAUAAAACUCAAACUCCACCUUGCUGUGGGUCCAAACGCAUUUCAAGCACACUAUUGAAACAAGUGACGGGAAGAAGGUUAAACAAGGCUCCCACCUGUGAGAUGGGUAAUCAAUGCUGCCAAAGAUGGUUGAUCAGAAAUCUGUUAAAGUGUAACAAACAAAAUCAGCAACUAAUAGAGAGCAUUGAUAAAUAUCAAAUAGAAAAAGGUGGUGCACUGCACACGAAUAUCAGAACUCAGAAGUACACUUAG
This is a non-coding RNA of Vicia faba (fava bean), 327 nucleotides long. Lineage: Eukaryota; Viridiplantae; Streptophyta; Magnoliopsida; Fabales; Fabaceae. The record is from the annotation of a GenBank genome assembly.